GCUUUUGACCGUAAUCCUCAACAAAGUAAAGUAGAAAGUUGUCAAAGUAAGUCAACGAAUAAGUUGUUUAAAAACUAAGUGGAUACUGUGAAGAUGGAAGAAAUGUGAAUCUGUUAAGUAGAGUGUGAGUGCUUAUACAAGACGGGCCAAACCAAACAACCACAAUGAUGAAAUAAGUACAAUGCAAUGUUCCAAUAGAUGAAAAUCUCCUCAUAUUUAAAUGAUCUAAUUAUCAUCAAAAAUGAGCAUGGGGAGAGCGGCAUAUAAGCAGCCACGCCACCAGCAGAGAGAGAGAGAGAGUCUGGCACAAGGAAGGCCACGGUGCUCCUGAAGCUGCUACGUUUAAUCUGUUAUGUUUGUGAAGCUGAUGUGUUUAAGUUGCU
Myxocyprinus asiaticus (Chinese sucker) is the source of this 383-nucleotide long non-coding RNA. RefSeq lists it as uncharacterized. The transcript has 3 exons. Lineage: Eukaryota; Metazoa; Chordata; Actinopteri; Cypriniformes; Catostomidae. The record is from RefSeq and is a predicted model, not a curated record.